This is a long non-coding RNA of Oncorhynchus tshawytscha (Chinook salmon), 1112 nucleotides long. The record is from Ensembl. NCBI's taxonomy places the organism in Eukaryota, Metazoa, Chordata, Actinopteri, Salmoniformes, Salmonidae.
CAUCUCUCAGGGUGAUCUGUGUACCAUUGCCCUGGUCAUGUACGCUGUACAUGAUACCUUAAGUGCUGUUAGAUAUCGUUUACGGGAAAUGAAAUAGCCCUGUGUGCAGUUUGCGUAAAUGUUUUAUUUAUUAACAAUAGCUCUUUUCUGUAAGUUGAAAUGAACGAAACCAACAAUGGUUAUGUCGCUGACAAGGUGCAGUACCACACACAUCUAUCAUAAAACUACCUGUAUUUUGGCUCGAGGACAACAUACUGUAGUCCCAACCAUGCAUGGGUAGUUUUUAAACACCACACUACCCAUUUAGCCUUAAUAAUAAAGCUGUAUUUAUUAUUUGGGACAUUUUCUACAAUUAUGCUUGUACCUCAAACUUCCUUCAGCAACUUAUAUGAAGUCAAAUCCAGUUUUAUUGGUCACAUACACAUGGUUAGCAGAUGUUAUUGUGAGUGUAGCGAAAUGUUUGUGCUUCUAGUUCCGACCGUGCCGCAAUAUUAACAAGUAAUCUAACAAUUACACAACAACUACCUAAUAUAUUUGUAUGUUUAAAUUAUUAAAUUAAUGUACAAUGUGUUAGAAAGCAGGCUUGAUUUACAUUAAGAUACAUUUGUUAAUCUUUAUGAUUGCCAGAUUUAUUCUGGUUUAUUGUGGUUCCAAGCAUUUUUAUUCGUGAAUCCACUAUAAUGAUCAUCACAUAAAAAUACAUAUAAAUAUCUCAUCACACAUUAUGUAUUUUGCAGCAAAAACAGAAGUGUCUGUAUGCUUAAGAAUGGUUUAUUUAAUGUCAAAUGUACUGUACAUGAUUUAGUGCCAUAUCUACUCCCAAACCAAACAUUCCAGUUGAUCUACUACCAAACCAAUCAUAGAGUUAUGUAAGAACACAGGGGAAGGCACAGCGUGGGUAAUGCUAUACUCCAACAUCAAAGGCCCUCUCGGUCAACACUCUCAAUACACUUAGUAAUUCCUUUGUACUCAAAUGAAUCCAUUGGUUCCUAUGAUGUCAAUUUGGGCUUGUCAUUGAAGUUGUACUUUUUCACCUGUUGACUGCUACUGUACAUACUGCACAUGAUUAUUAAGCAUACUGGAUUUUAGACUUGUCUGCCUUUAAAAAAGAG